AGUCCAUGGGCGAGCCUGACGGAGCAUACCGCGUGAGGGAAGACGGCCUAUGGGUUGUAAACCUCUUUUUUCAGGGAGGAAUUCAUGGACUUUACCUGAAGAAUAAGCAUCGGCUAACUCCGUGCCAGCAGCCGCGGUAAGACGGAGGAUGCAAGUGUUAUCCGGAAUCACUGGGCGUAAAGCGUCUGUAGGUGGUUUAAUAAGUCAACUGUUAAAUCUUGAAGCUCAACUUCAAAAUCGCAGUCGAAACUGUUAGACUAGAGUAUAGUAGGGGUAAAGGGAAUUUCCAGUGGAGCGGUGAAAUGCGUAGAUAUUGGAAAGAACACCGAUGGCGAAAGCACUUUACUGGGCUAUUACUGACACUCAGAGACGAAAGCUAGGGUAGCAAAUGGGAUUAGAUACCCCAGUAGUCCUAGCCGUAAACAAUGGAUACUAGAUGUUGAACAGAUCGACCUGUUCAGUAUUAAAGCUAACGCGUUAAGUAUCCCGCCUGGGAAGUAUGCUCGCAAGAGUGAAACUCAAAGGAAUUGACGG
This 534-nucleotide ribosomal RNA is filed under the name uncultured bacterium. RNAcentral describes it as "bacterial SSU rRNA". It matches the Rfam family "Bacterial small subunit ribosomal RNA", at positions 363 to 916 of the family's 1533-position model. The record is from RNAcentral.